UAACCGGGAUCAUCAUCUGGUGGGAGGGAGUGUUUGUUGUUUUUAGCCAAGUUGUGCUCCAUAUGUCAAUGAGAUAUUCCUUUCUCUCACUUGUGGACAUGGAGACAUGGACUUGAGGAUGGUUAUUUAUUAUUUUUGUAUGGUGCAAGUGCCUUGGAAUGUUUGCUAGUCAUUGUACUCUGUUACUAGUGUUGAACAUGUACUACAAAUAUAUUGUCAAGACAUGUAUGUGUUACCCAGGGGUGCUGUGUCAUACACAAGCAUGUCACAUGCUAUACAGAUAGGUCAUAGGAUACCCAGGAAAUUGAAUUUAUUUUCGGGGAUGUCGUAUGAGUGAGUGAGUGAGUUACUAUUUAACGUCACAUCGGCAAUAUCUCAGCCAUAUCGUGACGAAUGAUGAAGGAUGUCGUAUGAUGUCCUUGGAUGUCAUGAUGGGUGUCGUGUCAUGUGGUGCCCAGGGAUGUUGCGAGAUACCGGGGGGGUUCACACACUGUCCAGGUCGAUGUCGCAAUACCCUUGGGUGUCGCCAUCGUGUUGUGUGGUGCCCAGGAGUGUUGUGUGAUACCCGGGGGGUUCUCACACUGUCCAGGUAGGUGUUGAAUACCCUUGGGUGUCUGGGAUAUUGUGUGGUACCUGGGUGUGCCAUACAUUAUCCAGGUGGGUGUCAUGUACCUUGGGUGUUGUGUUGGGUGGUGCCAAGGUGUCCUCCCAUAAGUUAGACUUCCCAUUUGUCAGACAUGUUAUGGUUGGUUGCAGUCGGGUACACUGCACCGUUGCCUUUAUUAAGUAAUGGACUGAUCCAAAUUUAUGGAUAAUGACUUUAUUCAUCAUAAAUACAACAAAUUAAGAUAAUUUACCAAGGAUGAUUAGGGUAAGACUACAGAAUACCGGAUACCUUCCGCUAUCUUUGAAAGCAUGCGAUUUUACUUAGGGUUAGGGUAAGGGUAAGGGUUAGGUUUAGGUUGACAUGACACUAAACAAUAUGGCUGGUAGGUGUCCGGUAUUCUGUAGGUGUACCAUGUUUAAUUACACAAAAAAAUGAUCUUAUUCAGCAUAUUUCGAGUUUGGCUCCCUCUGUGAUCUCAAUCUUCUGGAUCUAUCUGUUUGUCCCUACUUUGUCUUGGCAAUUGAACACUGGAGGCCAUGUCUGUAGGAAGAUCAGGCACAUGAACAAGGUUACUACUAUCUACACAUUCAUCUUUAUAUCCUGGUAUUAAAGUCACAUGACCUAGGCUAGAGUAGUUUGUUAUUUCUGUCAGAAUAUAGUCAGAGCCGCAUUUGCAUUUACUCCAAAAUGAUGAUCCCUCUGGAGGAAUAUGAAUAAUACCCAUGUAAAUAUCACUUCUAGUAUUAAACAUCUGCCUAUCAAUUCUUAUCCAUAAGGAAAAUACACAACUAGAUACUAUUCUAACAAAAGCAUAGGGCAUUGGUGAGAGGAAGUUGGUCCCCAUAGUCAUGAUCAAAGUGAACAUCAUAAACAUAAACUGACAGAAGUCAUAAUCCUGUUUUGAUCAAAGUGAACAUUAUGAAAACAAACUUGGAGAAACCGGCGAUUGAGUACGUCAAUUAACAUUAGCAUACUGAUAAAAGUAUUUCUGUACAAAAAGUAACACAAUCAUAACUAGUCUUAAAAUAUACCGCUAGCCACUAUAGUAAAAACAUCUCGCUAGUCUAUGGGAUUGGUCUAUUAUGUCAGUGGGUAAGGCUAGGUUGUAAUCGCAGUAACGCCUGAUUGAUUUGUUUGAUAAUUGGCAUGUCUGACAAAUGGGGUGUCUAAUUUAUGGGAGUAAACUGGUGCCAAGGGAUGUUGCAUGAUACCUGGGAGUGUCUGACACUUUCCAGGUAGGUGUCGUGAUACCCUGGGUGUUGUGUUGAGUGGUGUCAAAGGGUGUUGCAUGAUACCUGGGAGUGUCUGACACUGUCCAGGUAGGUGUCGUGAUACCCUUGGGUGUUGUGUUGAGUGGUGUCAAAGGAUGUUGCAUGAUACCUGGGGGUGUCUGACACUGUCCAGGUAGGUGUCGUGAUACCUCGGGUGUCGUGUUGAGUGGUGUCAAAGGAUGUUGCAUGAUACCUGGGGGUGUCUGACACUGUCCAGGUAGGUGUCCUGAUACCCUGGGUGUCGUGUUGGGUGGUGCCAAGGGAUGUUCAUUGUCAUCUGACCAAGGGUGGGGUGGGAUACACAAGGGUGUCACGCUAAACCAAGGGCUAUUAAUAUAUUACAUUCACAAAUAGGAUUUUACUGGGUUUUCCCCAUGUAUUUUACCAAUUUUACCAAUUUUGAUAAUUACUGUUGUUUAGUCUCUGCAGUACCAGCUUGAUAUGUUUGGGAAGUCAAUCCGGUGCCUGCAUAGCUAAAUACAUUUCCAUGUUCCAUGUUGGCUAUCCUACUUGUGUUGAUGUGGGAUCUGUGUCCAUGUUGUUCUUUUUCAUGAUAAUGCUGAAUAUUUAAUUUCAGAAUUUGCCACAUGUUUUACAGAACCAUGUUUUGGUUUUGCUUUGUUCACACAUCGAAGCAUUCCCACAUGUCACAAACUGUUGAUUUGUAUCUGUGCCGCCUUCAGUGUUGUUUAUGUGUAUAUACCGUACAGAACAAUUACAGAUCAUGAAUGUGUUGAGGGAUAUUUUUUGUAAUUUUGACUGAGCAUGCAAUUUGUAGAUCAGCUGAUAAAUUGAGACAAGUACUGCAUUUUAUAUAUUUGUCUUAUUAUUCUCUUGGCCAAAACCAACUUUCAAGAAUAUAUUUUUUUAUUUAUUGUGUGUGUUCGGGCUGUCAGUGGAUGAUGUAGUUAAUGUAGCAUUCCACAAAUUUAGGGUAUAUUAUCACCACAAAUGUUGAUUAUUGUUUGUUGUUAUAAUAUGAAAUGUUAUGUUACUUACAUGUAUAUGCCAGUUCUUUUUUAUGGGGAAGGUUUCAAAAGUUUGGAUGUUAUUUACAUAUGCAAUUAUACUGAAUACAAUAUACAAUGUUUGUAUAUCCCGACAUUUCCUUGCUCACAUAUGAAACCUGUGCUGUGUUA
Haliotis rubra (blacklip abalone) is the source of this 3017-nucleotide long non-coding RNA. RefSeq lists it as uncharacterized. Lineage: Eukaryota; Metazoa; Mollusca; Gastropoda; Lepetellida; Haliotidae. The record is from RefSeq and is a predicted model, not a curated record. The transcript has 3 exons.